AUAUCUCUUUUUUUAUUUAAAUUAUAAUAUUUUAAUAUAAAUAAUUUUCAUCCUUUUUAGUAGAUAUCAUUAAUUAGUCAUUCGUAUAAUUUAUUACCAUCAUCAUCCAUCUGUUAAUUAACAAACAUUUGUAGAUAUAAAUAUCAUCAAAGAACCGGUGCAUAAAGUUAUUAAAAGAUUCAUAAAGUUAUUAAAAGUUACCCUUGAACUUUCGCAAAUGAAACAUUUAAAUUUCGAUCAGAUGACGCGUCACAUCUUUCAUUAUGAAACUCGGUAGUAAUAUCAAAUGGUUUUCAAGCAGAUUUAUUCAGUCAUCGAAAUAUUUCAACCAUAUCAAGGAACGUCCUCGCAUAACCGAUAAAAUAAUAAUUGAACAAUUUAUAAUCAAUUAACAUUUAACAAUUAACAAAUAAUACAAGUUGUAUAAUAAAAUAUAAUAUCAAAUAACAAAAUAGUUUCACGGUUUAAUUAAAAAAUCGAUGAAAGGAUAUUGGAUUCGGAUUCCGUCCACGGGCGAUCUAUUGUUCAUUUGGUCGAAUUCUUUCUAUAACCGGUCUGGCAAAAGUGAACCGGUUUCUUGUGUAGCAAGCCACGUAAUACGGGGCGCGAUUACGAGAGGCCACAUCGUGACAUUGGGCGCGGUACUUUGACGGCCGCGGCAGCGGUUCUGGCUUAUUUGGUGAAAGUUGAACAAUAUGAACAGAAGAGUGGUGGCGGGUGCAUAAGUGAGACCUUCAAUAGAUGCGUAAGCUAAAGGUGAUGAGUAAGCAGUUGUGUACGCAUAGACAUUAGGAUAAGAGGUAAAAGUGGUAACAGUUUUAGUUGCUGGCAAGCUUACUAAUCUCGCCGCUUGUGGAACUUUUGCUGGCAAUUGUACCGGAGUAACAAGAGUUUUCACUGGUGUAGCAGUCUGUUUCUGCUGUUGUGAUUGUUGUCGUUGCAAUGAUUGUUGCUUUUGAUGUUCUUGUUGCUGUCCCUGUUCUUGUUGUAUCCUUUGCUGUUGCUGAAUUUGCUGUUGGAAUCGCAAUCUGGAUUGUUGUUGAAACUGUUGCAAUUGUUGCAAUUGUUUCUGUUGCUGUUCUUGUUGUUGCCUUUCAAGCUCCUUCAAUUGCUGCAAUUGUUGUUCUUGUUGUUGUCGAAGCUGCUCGUCAUGAGCAAUUGGACUGUUGGAUGCAACCAGAGGACCGGAUCUAGCCUCAACUACUUCAACAUCAGAAUCUGGACCGCUAGCUGGAAUAGCUGGUGCAGGUGCUGCAGGCAAAACAGGUGUAGCUGCUGCGGCAGGCGCGAUGGCUGGUGCGUAUGGUAGCAAUGGAGCUGCAAUGGCUGCUACAGCAGUUGCUGGUUCUCGGCUUACCACUGCGUUAAAGCCAUUUAUUGGAUCCGCUGUAUACUCGACUAUGCGUCGAGUACCGUCUGCCUCAAUCAAGCUGUAGCUACCCUGUACCAAAUCGCCAUUUCUAGUUUCAUAUUGGGCUUUAGAGUCCCCGGUUACGGCAUCUUGGACGUCAUACGCGAAGCUGUAGUGGGGUGUCGAAUCUAAUUCCUCGAGUUUUGCUGUCACUAUAGAUGCCGGUACUGCCGGUAUCGCUGGUACCACCGCCCCUUUUGAAAACACUGCUACGCUUAAGAGUACGAUGAGCUAAAUAUAAAAAAAAAAUUUUUUCAGAAAAUAAUUAUUUAAUUCAAGAAAGUACGAAAUUCUAUACAAUUUUUUAUAUAUAUAUAUGUUUCUUUUAUAUUCAAAGUCAAUUUUAAUUAUUCUAAAAUUUUUUUCGUUUUUUUUUUGUCCGAAUCUUUAUGUACCUGUAUGUAAUAUCGAUAAUAAUCAUAAAAUUUUUUAUAAUAGAAGAGACAGAUUUAUGUUACUAUUAUGUAAUUUUAUCAGAAGUCAAUAUGAUUAAUAUUUAGUGAUAUAUGUUUUAUGCUAACUUGAUGCACAACUUGUUAAUCAAUAAACUAAUUAAUAUUUAACAAUCUAACAAAUAUAUAUUAGAUAAUAAUAUAUAAUUUGAUGAAACUACAAUAUUUGUGAAAUUUUUAAGUAUUUCAACAAAAUAUAUUUGAAAUUUUCGAUUUUGAUAAUUAUAAUUGUCCUGAAAACAACCAAAGAAUAAUAAUAAAAAUGAAAAUUAAUAAUAGAUAUUGCAGAAAAAAAAGGAAAAAUACAAUAUAUUUUAAAUGUAAACAAAUAUAUAAAAAAAGAAAGAAAAAUAAUAAAUUAGUAAAUAAUAUAAUUAAUAAAUAAUAUAAUUCUUAACUGAUAAAACUAAUUAAAAUGAUCUUUAUAUUAAAUCUAUGUUUAUCGAUUUCUAGCAAAGAACUUCUUACCUUUCCAGCCAUGUUUGUUUGCAAGAAGAUCGUCAGAAGACUGAUGCCUUAGGGUAAAAUUCGUCGUACUUUUAUACGCCUGAUGACUGUCGCUGUUUUCGUGUCAUCCGUUAACAAUAAUCGAGCUAUUCCUUGCACCCAAACUCACAUCGAAACACCUGUCUUACACACAGCGUCCCCACUUAAUCUCUCCUUCUUUUAUUUAGCCUACCUAUUACUCUCUUUCUUUUGCCAUUCGAUGACCUCCUCAUAAAUGUUACAAUAUAUUGAAUACACGCGACUUGUAUGCCAAUAUGUCGAAGAUACGAAGUCUCGAGGUCAUACGACGAAACCGCGAACGCAAACUGUGAACUCUACUCUAACCUCCCUUGUGAUGAAAGGUGCAUACUUCCAAAAGUUUACAAUAUUGCGUGAUUGUUAUCGAUUAGCAUUUAUGUCGCAGCUGCGACAUAUUGAACUAAGGCUAACAGGCCAAAAGGGUUUCUUAAUAAGAAGAAUUAUUAUUCUUCUAUUUGAAUAAAUGUUUAAAAAAUUUUUAUAAUA
Apis cerana (Asiatic honeybee) is the source of this 2874-nucleotide long non-coding RNA. RefSeq lists it as uncharacterized. The record is from RefSeq and is a predicted model, not a curated record. Lineage: Eukaryota; Metazoa; Arthropoda; Insecta; Hymenoptera; Apidae.